Mastomys coucha (southern multimammate mouse) is the source of this 512-nucleotide long non-coding RNA. RefSeq lists it as uncharacterized. The record is from RefSeq and is a predicted model, not a curated record. The transcript is spliced from 3 exons. Lineage: Eukaryota; Metazoa; Chordata; Mammalia; Rodentia; Muridae.
UGCUGCAAAGACAAACAGGACCCCUCACACAGUCUAGGGGAGAUUCCUGGCAGAUAAUCUGAGGGUGACCAAGCUUCACUCUUAACCAUGAUGAGGAGUUAGCUUAUUGGAUUUGUAUGUACCAACUUACUGAAAAUGUCCUGAGCAAGCAAACCAAAGUAUGCUUCUACACUUAUCCCUGAAGAACCAAUGAAUGCAUUAUGUCUACUUACGGUGCAUGUAUGAGAGAUUAAUGAUAGGAUUGUGGAGGACUCCAAAGCAGGAACAUUGACAGGAGACUGCUGUCCUCGGAGAGGCUUCACUCAGCAGCUCAUGGACACAGAUGCAGAGACCCACAGCCAAACAUCAGAGAAUCUUGUGGAAGAGGGGGUAGAAAGGAUUGAAGAAGCCAGAGAGGUCAAGGAAACCUACAGAAUCAUCUAACUUGAGUUAGAUGGGAUUCGCAGAGACUGAACAAUCAACCAAAUAGCAUGCAGGGUCUUGACCUAGGUCCACUAAACGUAUGUCACAUA